UUCCUACGGGGGGCAGCAGUGAGGAAUAUUGGUCAAUGGGCUUACGCCUGAACCAGCCAAGUCGCGUGAGGGAAGACUGCCCUAUGGGUUGUAAACCUCUUUUGUCAGGGAGCAACGCCGGCUACGUGUAGCCGGACUGAGAGUACCUGAAGAAAAAGCAUCGGCUAACUCCGUGCCAGCAGCCGCGGUAAUACGGAGGAUGCGAGCGUUAUCCGGAUUCAUUGGGUUUAAAGGGUGCGCAGGCGGGCCUUUAAGCCGGCGGUGAAAUCGCGGGG
This 275-nucleotide ribosomal RNA is filed under the name uncultured bacterium. Its description in RNAcentral is "partial 16S ribosomal RNA". It matches the Rfam family "Bacterial small subunit ribosomal RNA", at positions 336 to 607 of the family's 1533-position model. The record is from RNAcentral.